GAGACAGCAGUCGCCGCGGUAACACGAAGGGGGCUAGCGUUGCUCGGAAUGACUGGGCGUAAAGGGCGCGUAGGCGGAUGGUACAGUCAGAUGUGAAAUUCCCGGGCUUAACCUGGGGGCUGCAUUUGAUACGUGCUGUCUAGAGUGAGGAAGAGGGUCGUGGAAUUCCCAGUGUAGAGGUGAAAUUCGUAGAUAUUGGGAAGAACACCGGUGGCGAAGGCGGCGACCUGGUCCUUUUACUGACGCUGAGGCGCGAAAGCGUGGGGAGCAAACAGGAUUAGAUACCCCCGUAGUCCCUGUCUCUUAUA
Molecule: ribosomal RNA, 308 nt
Filed under: uncultured bacterium
Lineage: Bacteria
Description: partial 16S ribosomal RNA
Rfam family: Bacterial small subunit ribosomal RNA
Source: RNAcentral